UCCACACAAAUUGAGGAACUAACAUCCACAUUUCAAUUCAUGAGUGUUUCACUUCCCUUUCCUUGUUCCAUUUUCAGACUCAUGAUGUUCUAACCUGAAAUAAUAUCAUCAACAAUAAUGUUUUUAGAAGAUGAAAAAGAACCUUAACAAGAAAAAUGAAGUUCAACGCUCACUUCUCAUCACAUAGUUUCACCAAUACUCUUCUUCAGGUAAGAAACUUUAUAUAUAUAUAUUAUCUGGUUCUUUAAAUUAUGAUUAUUUAUGCCGUAGAUUUAUUAUUCUUCCACGCUAGGGUCAUUUAGUAGAAGGUAUUAGAAAAAAUAAUACAUAUAUUAUUAGUUUUGAUAUAUUAUUUAUUAAUCCCUUAUUUGGUUAGGGUAAUAUUCUUAUUCUAAUACACUCAUAACAAAUCAAACCGUCAAUAAAAAAUAAUACUAAAAUUAUACACCCUACAAAAACCCCUUUUAGUAUUUGUGUGUUAAUGUGUUAGUGAUUAGCUACAAGUAAUUAAUCAAGCCUGAAGAACAGAUAAUUUUAAUUUCUUACAAGUAGAGUUAGUAAUCUGAACAGAAACAAGAGACAUUAUUUGUUUAUAAUGGGUUAAAAUACACUAAUAUUUUUUAAAAAAAAUUAUACUAUGAUAUUCCUUGAUAAAAAUUUUUAGCUUCUCAAUAGAGAAAAAGAUAGCGACGCAAGCUUUCUGUUCGCCAGUAAAAUCAUACUCUCUGCUUAAUUUAUGUGACACGUUUUAUUUUUUAUUCUAGUAAAGAUUGUUACUUUUCUACUACGUAUUAAAAAUAACUUAAUUUUAAUAAAAACAAUUUAUAAAAUAAAAUAUCUUAAAUUUUUUUAACACGUUUUUUUUCCUUAAAUUUUAUGUCAAAUCAGUCGGUAUCACUAUACAAAUAUUAGGUCAUUGGUGAUAGUACAAGAAUUAAUUAUGAGUAAUUAAUGUAGGUUAAUGAUAUGAUGAGAAGUCAUAAUACGAGGUUACACCUUUCGACUAUUGAUUGGCUAACGGCCGUGGAAUUCUCCAUUUGUACUAAUAAGAUAUGACAUGUAGGGACAUACAAUUUUAUCUUCUCCAUGUCUUUUAUUUUUCCUUUUAUCGUGUUUGUAUAUUUUCAAAUAAUAGAAACUUCAAAAUUCCUAAUAAUAGUUUCAAAUAUAUAAAGUAUAUAUUACUAUUCAAUUUAUCUAUCUUACUUUUUAAAAUUUUAUGCAAAAUAUUGAUGACUAGUUUUUAAAAAAAAUUGAAGGUAGAAAAAAGAAAUUACAAGGUCGAGAAUCAAACUUUCAUAAACAAGGUAAAUACUUAAAGUCAAUCAAUUAAAUUACUAAAAAUUUUACGUGUUCAAAACUAUCACACAAGAUUUAAGCAUUUUAAUACAUAAUAUGCAUGUUUAAUUUAAAAUUUUAAGAUUCUAAAGUCUAUACUAUAUUCUUAAAUGAUGUGUUUAGUCAAACUACGACACAUAAAAAUUAAUGUAAUGAAGGGGGACUUUAGAAAAAAGUUUUUAAAGAUAUAUAUAUAAAAUGUGGACAGAAGUGCUCCAUGAAAGAAACAAUGAAGAGGAAAAAGAGGAUAAAAACAUAGAGAGAUAUUGGUGGCCCCUUUAGGGCUUGAGGGUAUGUGUGGUGCUUCAUUUUUGGGGUUUUGUUUUGUUUGUUUGUUUUGUUUAGGCUAAUAGAAUGUGUGAUGAAUAGUUCCAAAUCAGUUAGCACUACCUUUUACCAUUGUGGAAUGGGCAUAAAAGAUGUGAAUGGGGGACUUAAAGGUACACACCACAGGAAUAACUCUUUUUUGUUCAUUCAUUAUACAGAAAGUGACACUAUUUUUGUUCUCUAACGUAGCUGAGGCCUCAUUUAUUUACACAUAAUAGAGAUUUUGAAUGAUAGAAGUUUUAGAAUCUUUAUAUUGAGAAUUAAGUAUUUCCUAAACAAAACUUUUACACAGAUCAUUAAAAGAUAUUUUUGUGUGAAUAAUUUUCACAUGCACAAUCAUCAACCACCUAGUUAAUCACAUUCAACAUCACAAUUACCAAUACAUCAUUGACCACUAUACAUAAUAUAGUCAAUACUACUAACAUUAGCUACUAAUUACAAUCACUACUAUCACUACCACGUACCAAUUGUCAUUAAUCACACAUCAUUACAACGAGCAUCAAUCAUCACCACCACCGUUGCUACGGACCAUCUUUAUCAUCACUAGCAAACAUAAUAUUUAUUUAUUUUAAUUAAAUUUUUAUAUUUUUUCUUAUAUUUAAUUUCUUUUUUUAUUUGAAUUGUGUAUUUAUUAUAUUUAAAAAUAAAUAAAUUUUGUAAUUUCAUUGAGAAACAUAAUUAAACAAUUAAACAUAUACGCUUUGUAGUCCCAAAAGAUUGGACAAUAUAUAGUCAAUAAGCUCUUUUAAUAUAAACACUUGCAUAUAUUUAUUUAAUACAUAGAAAAACAUCUCUAUAAUAAUAUUUCAUUAUAAUGAUAAAAUUCUCUUAAAAACAUACUUUUGAUAUUACAUUAUACUCUAUAUCUUUCUUAACAACAUUUUGUUAUGACAGUAAAAAAGAUAUUCGGAAAAUAACAAUAUUAUUACUAGAAAGGUUUGACGGUAUAUUUUACUUUGCAUAAUAAAGUCAAUACAGAAUUUAAUCAAUAUACAUGUUUACUGAAAUAAAUAAACAAAUCUUUAUUAGAUGCAUGUUUAAAGAGCUCUUUUUGGAAAAAGUUUCGUUCCGAAAAUUUCGGCCAACUUAAUUUGUUUGACUACAAAGGAAAAAAUAAACUGUCACACCUUACGUAGCCUGAAAUUCAGCCGGCCAUAUUUUGGACUGCUUUUAUGUGUUCAAUUCAUUUAUCAUAUUUAGAACUCAUUUAGAAUCCGUUUGGAUUGAUUUAAAAAAAAUUAUUUUUAAGUCAAAAAUAUAAAAUUAAACGUAAAUAACUUUUAAGUCGAAAAAUAAAAAGUAAGGGAGAUUUACUUUUGAUUUUUGACUUAUUUCAAGUCAUUUUUUUACCUUACCAAAUACUUCAUAACUUAUUUUAAGUCAUUUUUAAUUUGUUUUAAGUUAUUUUUUUAUUUUUGUCAAACACUUUCAGAAGUCAAAAAUUGAUUUAAAAGUAGGUUUGACCAACUUUUAAAUCAAUUCAAACACACUCUCUUAGUACGAGGGAUAAAGAAAAUAACUUAUUCCAAAAUAAACUUUAGAAUAAGUUCAUCUUUUUUGAGAUAAAAUUACGAAAUAACUUAUUUUGAUAUUAGUUAUUGCAAGAUUAUAGAACUAUUUUUAAAUAUAUUAAAGGUAAAAAAACAAUUUUGAAAUAAUUAUUUUUGAAAAAUUUAAUUUCUGAUAAACUUAUUUCCCAAUCAAACGAGUCAUUACAAUUUCUUUCUGCAGUACUAAUAUUGUGCCAUUGUUGUUGAGCGAUUUGGCUUGACAACUAUCAUAUCUAAUUCACCAUACAACAAAAGAACAAAGAAAAGAAGGGAACAUUAAACUUAUAAUCUCCAAAAAUAUAAACAUCCAAGACUGAGACAUUCAGUCUUCGAAAAAUAUUAUGGAAGAUAUAUAUUUUUAUAAAUGAUCAAUUUCAUAUCUAUCAAUUAUAUUAUUAACUAACGAAAAAAGUUUACCUUUGUCAUAUCUAGUUGAAAUGAUCCUUUUUUUUCUCCUUUUCUAUAGGGAAAAAAUAGUUGAGGACAUUCCUUUUUUUUCACCUUUUCUAUAGGGAAAAAAUAGUUGAAGACAUUAGUUUAGUUAAGAAAUCAGGUACCUAAUUAGCUUCUCUAAAAUGAAAUAAUGUGAUAUAAACAAUCUCAAUAAUAAUAAUUAGAGUGCAGAUCAAGAUUGAACCUGCUGAACACAGAGAAUUUCGUAAUUGAAAAGAAUAAAGACUACUUUCUUCGUUUCAAAAUAAAUGGUGUUUUUAGCUUGAACAUAUUGAUUCUUAGAGAAACUACUCAUUUGUAUAAGAUAAAGAGUAGUUUUACUACUUACCCCUAAUUAAAUGCCUUGAAGAAUAAGUGAUUCUAUAAUGAUGUACAAUUCCAUGUAUUAAAACAAGAGUAAUUUUAUAAGAAUAAAAUCAAUUCCUAUCAAAACAAAAUAAACAGGCCAAAACACCACUUAUUUUGAAACGAAGGAACUACAAUUUUAACCUUCUCCUUUGUAGAAAGUUCAGGAAAUUAUUUGGUUGAGAUUUUUUAAUAGAAAAAUAGUAUUCAAAAUUGAUGUUGAAAAGGAGUAUUUUGAAGUUAAAAUUGUGUUUUUAGUCCUCUUGCUGAAAUGCCUUCCAAAAAGAUUAUUUAUUUCCCCUUAUUGAAACAAGAUGGACAUGAAAACAAAGUUCAAAGUUUUGUAUGUGAAAACUUUAAAUCAUUUGUAAAAUUUUCCAUGUUGUAAUGACAAUAUGAAUUAAUUCAUAUAUAGAUUAUCAAUUGAAAUGAUUAUUAUUAAAAUUCAGUUUCAUUAGUCCCUUACUGUAUACCUCCAAUCUUCUACACCAAUAAACAUUCUUAUCAAAACAAAUUACUUGUAAUUAAGUGUUACUUAUGAGACUUCUUGGAAAUAUAUGUUUUUUCAUCAGAACUUUUGGUUCUGCCACUGUGUACUGCAUGUCUUGGGAAUGUUCAAAAUUAUUAUUAAAACACACAAAGACCAAGUUGAGUAACAUCCAUAUAUACUAGUGAUAUUCCAAUUACAAAGUACUUAUGAACUUUCUCACACAAAAUAAUGUACAUCUUCCCCUAUUUUAUAUAAUGUCACAUCUCUAAUGUUUUUUUUAUUAGAAUGAUGAGAAAUAACACAACUAACAUAAUAUACAUCACAAUAAAUGUAUAAAAGACUUGAGAGAAGAUACAAAACAUUUUGAAAAUCAAUUUAAGUUUACCAAUUAUAUGGGUGUGAAUAUAUAAUUAUCUAUUUUGAAUGACAUUAAAUACUAUCUCUAACUAGGAAUGGAAUAGACAUAAACUGAAGAUUUUGGCCCUUGUUUUUUUUUAACUUUUGGAUCCAAAAAUAUGUUGAAUUCUUCUGCUCUUUUGCCUUCUUUCUUUAGUUUAGUUUUUUAAUUACAGUUUUAUCUCUACAUAACUUGAGCAAUUUAUAACUCUAAUGAUGAAGAAAUAGUUUACACUUUACAUGUGAUUAUAACCAUAAAAUUGUGAUUAACUAAUUAUCCAGAGAUAAAGUCUUCCAGUUUGUCACACCAUAUUUAUGUUUGGUGUAACAUGUGAAUAUAUUAACUCCUAAACAUGACAUGAUCUUUUAGCCCUACAAAGUUCUAUUAUCAUAUGCCAUAGAACGAAUGGUACCUAUUUGUUUAGAGUACAUAUCCAUCAAAAGACAUAUAAAAGUUAUAUUGCUCGGACUCUUCAAAAAUAUUCACAAACUAUGUGUGUUGCAUACUAAAAAAUAGUACAUUUUUGGAGAAUCCAAACAACAUAGUGUAGACAUGGCAUAAACUUAAUCCAAUCUUUAGGAAAAAAUUAAGACAUAGUAACUAGUUAAUCUCUUAAGGCAAACAAGCUAAGUAAAAGUUUAACACUUUUGUUUAAACUAUUUGUCGAGCUUCAAAGAGGAUUACAUAAUCCAAAUAACUAAAUCAACUGUGAUUACUUUUAAACUACCAUUCAAAGAGUAUAAUUAAGAGAGAGUAGAGGGUUAAUUACAUGGCUUAAUAACAACAUGAAGUAUCCUUCGUUGAGUGCCUUACAAAACUCAGGAGAUUUGGAUCGUCUACCAACAGCUGCAAAGGCAUACACAUAACUAAAAUCACAAAAUUAGUGUUAGCAGCUAGUAUGUAUCGUCUAUCAAUAGCUGCAAAGGCAUAAUUUAACUCACAAAAUAGUGUUAGUAAUUGAGCAAUCUAACAACACUUUCAGAUCUAAUCGACAAAAUUGCCAAGCAAGAAAUAACAUCAAAAGUAGUCAUACAAAUUCGAAAACCUAUCUUCUUCUUUCGCACAGAUUUGUGUACGAAAAAAAGAAAAAACGAAAGAGGGCGAAGGUGAUGACAGAAGCAUAGAGAGCACAAAUGAAGUGAGAUGCUUUUGCUGAAUGAAAUUAGCAUAUCAUCAUUAGUGCUCUCUAUCUUCUGUCAACAAUUAUCACCAACCUUUCUUCCUAUCAAUUUCAAUUAUAUAACCUAAAAAUCAAAUACAAAGAACAAAAUAAGAUUUUUUUGGGUUUGGGGGAAGAGAAAGGGUGUUAGGGCUAUAUUUGGGGCUAGAAGAAAUAUUAUAUAGAUAGAUAUUUGGGGGUGGGUUUAACCUAUUGAGUUGUAGCAGUAGAGAGGGGUCUUUUUAUAGGAAAAAAUAGCAAGGAAGUGAAGAUUCAGGGAAAGGUUAUUAUUGGUAAAUAAAGAAAAGAAAAGGGUACUAUUGUGUACUAUCCCCAUUUUGUUAUAACAGUUUUUCACGACUAGUGUUUAGGUAAAAGGACAACAACAUCCACUCUUAACAAACUCCACUCAUAUGAAUUAGUAGGCGUUUGGAAAUACAAUUUCAAAUCGUGAUAUGAAAUUAUGUUUGAAUAUGUAAUUUCACGCUGAUUUCUUAUCAUGAGAUGAAAUCUCAAAUUUUCCAAAAAACAUGAUUUGGCGGUUUCCAUGUUCACCUUCACCUUUCGAGUUCUUGAACAUGAACUGGUUUAGAAGGUAAAUUUUUUAUAGUAAAUGUAUAUUUUAAUUGAAUUUUAAAAUGAAUGAGAUAUUGAAUGAAAAAUCAAAAACUAAAUCAUGCAUUGUUGCAUAUUACCGUCGCUUAUUUGAGUUUAGAAAUUAAUUUUCUUUAUUAAUUGUGAUAUUUAAAUCAAUUUAUGAAUAUUGAUUAGUUUGACUAUAUAUGUGUACUCAAAAAGCAUUUUAUAACUAAUCGUUUAAGAAAUUUUAGUUUAUUAUUAAGAAUUUUAGGUUUUUAUUGGAUAACAAAGAUUAGAAAUUUAUUCAAAAUAUUUAAUAACUUGAUUUAUCGUAAUAAUAAGGUCAAUUUUUUAAAGUACUUUCUGCGAUGUUUUCCUAUUUGUCAUGUCACUACAUCAAAAAUGAUCUUUAGCGGUAAAUUAAUUAACGGUAAUAGCUCAAUUGCCGUUAAAUAUGUAUUUUUAGCAGCAAUUAGCACUCUUUGUAUAUGUCCCUAAAGUCUUUAGCGACAUUGAAUCUAAUGCACUUAACUAAUGCAACUAAAGACUUUAGCACUCUUUAUUAAUGUGUCUAUUUAUUAUCACUAAAAGUUAUUUUUGUUGGAAGAGUGUUGUGCUAAAUUCACUCAGGAACCCUUCUUGUAUGGUUUUUUGAUGCAAUAG
RNAcentral lists this long non-coding RNA (7301 nucleotides) under Solanum tuberosum (potato). Its description in RNAcentral is "long non-coding RNA (STUB_LNC006768)". The record is from RNAcentral. Lineage: Eukaryota; Viridiplantae; Streptophyta; Magnoliopsida; Solanales; Solanaceae.